Molecule: long non-coding RNA, 161 nt
Filed under: Sus scrofa (pig)
Lineage: Eukaryota; Metazoa; Chordata; Mammalia; Artiodactyla; Suidae
Description: lncRNA (ENSSSCG00070030113.1)
Source: RNAcentral
AACCGACUCCGGGCGCAGUGGGAAGCGCGUAAAUUCCUGGGACACGAGAACCACAGUGUUAAUGAAACAGCUGGGCUGGGAGAAGGUGGGGCGCAGGACACAUCUGUCCGAAGGGUGCCCUGGGUAAUCAGACAGCGACCUGAGACCAGAAAGGUUCUCAG